This 581-nucleotide ribosomal RNA is filed under the name uncultured marine eukaryote. Its description in RNAcentral is "SSU rRNA". It matches the Rfam family "Eukaryotic small subunit ribosomal RNA", at positions 616 to 1202 of the family's 1831-position model. The record is from RNAcentral.
CGGUUAAAAAGCUCGUAGUUGGGUUUCUGUUGAAAACGGCCGGUCUGUACUUCGUGCAUGUAUCUGGUUCGUCUUCGGCAUCUUCGUGGGAACUGCGUCUGCGCUUGAUUGCGUGGUGUAGGGUUCGCGACUUUUACUUUGAGGAAAUUAGAGUGUUCACAGCAGGCAACAGCCUUGAAUACAUUAGCAUGGAAUAAUAAGAUAGGACCUUCGUUCUAUAUUGUUGGUUGCUAGGAUGAAGGUAAUGGUUAAUAGGGAUAAUUGGGGGCAUCCGUACUAACGCGUCAGAGGUGGAAUUCUUGGAUUGCGUUAUGACGAACUACUGCGAAAGCAUUUGCCAAGGAUGUUUUCAUUGAUCAAGAACGAAAGUAGCGGGAUCGAAGAUGAUUAGAUACCGUCGUAGUCGCUACCAUAAACAAUGCCAACUAGAAAUUGGAGGUUGUUGUCUGAUGACUUCUUCAGCAUCUUAUGAGAAAUCAAAGUCUUUGGGUUCCGGGGGGAGUAUGGUCGCAAGGCUGAAACUUAAAGGAAUUGACGGAAAGGCACCACCAGGAGUGGAGCCUGCGGCUUAAUUUGACUCA